RNAcentral lists this unclassified non-coding RNA (446 nucleotides) under Hevea brasiliensis (rubber tree). The record is from RNAcentral. Lineage: Eukaryota; Viridiplantae; Streptophyta; Magnoliopsida; Malpighiales; Euphorbiaceae.
GCCACUUUUAUUCGUCUGAGCUCCUUACACAGCGUGAUGAAGUCUCCCCAUUUCAUGUGGCAUCGCCUUAUAAACCGUAAAAUCUGUUCAGUUGUGAACAUGGACAUGCCCUCCAGAUAUUCUCCAUUGACACCAUUUUCUUUAAAAAUCUGGCGGUAGCCACCCAGAUUUAUUUCUUCCAACCAUAAACCGACAUCCUCAACAGUCCAAAUGAAGAAAUCAAGAGGCUCCGGAGGCCUUUCUUUGCUCAUUUCCUCAGUAAAACAGCCCCAAAUUACCGUUCGAGUGCGGAAGAAGAAUGUUGAAAUUUAGCGAGUGAAUUUUCUCUACAUUUGAGGGGAAAAAAUAUUUAAAAAAAAAAAAAAGGAAAGAGAAAGAAAAGAGAGAAAGAGGAAAUGUGUAAGAACAGAGACAAAAAGGCACAGUCUCUUCAACGUCGCUUUAAU